UACGUAGGGAGCAAGCGUUGUCCGGAAUCAUUGGGCGUAAAGCGCGCGUAGGUGGCUUCGUAAGUCCGUUGUGAAAGUCAAAGGCUCAACCUUUGAAAGCCGAUGGAUACUGCGGAGCUAGAGUACGGAAGAGGCGAGUGGAAUUCCUGGUGUAGCGGUGGAAUGCGCAGAUAUCGGGGAGGAACACCAGUAGCGAAGGCGGCACUCUGGGCCGGUACUGACGCUGAGGAGCGAAAGCGUGGGGAGCAAACAGG
This 254-nucleotide ribosomal RNA is filed under the name uncultured bacterium. RNAcentral describes it as "partial 16S ribosomal RNA". It matches the Rfam family "Bacterial small subunit ribosomal RNA", at positions 524 to 776 of the family's 1533-position model. The record is from RNAcentral.